UAAAUGGAAACGUAACGAUGUAUGUACCGAUUUUUCUGAUCGACAAUUUGUGCAUUUUCUGAUCACGCAGAAAAAAAUACCGAAUGAUUAUUUUAUAUCCGAUUUUGAACACGAGCUUUGUGUUCCCAGCCACCAGGAGUCACUGUCGGCUUUCCGCAAUUGUGGCAAAAUUUCUGUCGCACGUUUUUGUUUUCGUUUAUUUAUCGUUUAAAUUUCAUUCGAGAGGGAAUUUCCGCGCAGCUACGACUCGGUUCCCACCCAUAAAGUCCACGGUCUGCGCAUGCGCCAGGUGGUGAUUAGGUGGAAGACGGCUUUUCGUGUCUGCUUCGGUGGUACCGUCGACCGAUAAAAACAGUCUUUUAUGGUUGUAUUUUGGGACCGGCCGGUUCGACCCGCGAUAUUAACACUGGCCGUCAGCGGUUAAACAUAACCUAUCUUUAUUAAAGAUAACGGAUAGGGUAGAAAUAGUCGAUGAAAAUAGAGAGAAUUUGCCAUAAUACGACAUAUGGUGUCGGCGGCUCCAACUAACCAGGAUAGGAUUUCUCAUUUAGUUACGGAUGGGAGACGAUUGGUAGCUGGGCGGAAACUCUAAUAUUUUUUGAGAUUGGGAAAUGUGGGAAACUUUUACUAUAAGACAAUAUCCAUAAUCCGAAAUCCGUAACUUAGUUUCCUUAGCGGGAGAUCUUUGGAAUAGACUGCGCCGCCAAAGAUAAUGCGCUAGUGCGCG
RNAcentral lists this long non-coding RNA (727 nucleotides) under Androctonus crassicauda. The record is from RNAcentral. Lineage: Eukaryota; Metazoa; Arthropoda; Arachnida; Scorpiones; Buthidae.